This 306-nucleotide ribosomal RNA is filed under the name uncultured bacterium. Its description in RNAcentral is "partial 16S ribosomal RNA". It matches the Rfam family "Bacterial small subunit ribosomal RNA", at positions 507 to 807 of the family's 1533-position model. The record is from RNAcentral.
GACAGCAGUCGCCGCGGUAAUACAGAGGGUGCGAGCGUUAAUCGGAUUCACUGGGCGUAAAGCGUGCGUAGGUGGCCAAUUAAGUCAAAUGUGAAAUCCCCGAGCUUAACUUGGGAAUUGCAUUCGAUACUGGUUGGCUAGAGUAUGGGAGAGGAUGGUAGAAUUCCAGGUGUAGCGGUGAAAUGCGUAGAGAUCUGGAGGAAUACCGAUGGCGAAGGCAGCCAUCUGGCCUAAUACUGACACUGAGGUACGAAAGCAUGGGGAGCAAACAGGAUUAGAUACCCGUGUAGUCCCUGUCUCUUAUAC